Molecule: long non-coding RNA, 2026 nt
Filed under: Nicotiana tabacum (common tobacco)
Lineage: Eukaryota; Viridiplantae; Streptophyta; Magnoliopsida; Solanales; Solanaceae
Description: long non-coding RNA (NTAB_LNC010961)
Source: RNAcentral
CCCUCAUCGUCUCACUCACCCUCAUCUCUUCAGAAACACCCCCAAACCCUUACCCGCCGCCCCCUUUUCCACCACACCCAUCGGCGGCGCCACCUCCGUUCAUCACCAAAAUAACACCCCAUGACCACUAAGCCCCCCUCAUUCCAAAUCCCUGAUUGGUUUUCCUCGAAUCGUAGCCCAGCUCGUCGAAUCUUGAAUCUAGUUCAAGCCCUAAAAUUCCAAACCAACUCAAAUUCAAGAUCUCAGUGGGAUUUGGGUCUAGUUCGACGUUAUUCAUGUGUUAUUGACAAGAACACAUGAUUAAUGUCAAACUUGACCGGAAAAUUCUGAAGAUUCGAAGUUCUCGCAUUUCUUACGGGUCGGGUUAUUUGUUUUCAACUUCUGAGUUUGAUUUUCAUGUGAGUUCUUUACCAUCUUCCUGUUCCUUUUGUGCAUGUUUUGACUUUUUAUUCCUCUUAUCUUCUUGGUUUCUCCGAUAUUCCAAUUCUUUUGCAUGUUUUUCGUCAUAAGUUAAUUAGUGUCUCUGAACUUGAAGACUAGUUUAAUUGGUUUGCCCGUGCUACUUGGGCCCCUGAAGUCUUUAGGACAAAGAGUCUGUGACUCGGUUUAGUCCUCUUCCCCCUUGUAUUGUUUUUUUUUCUUUCUUCAAGUUCUUCUGUGAAACCUCGAGUCAAAUUGGGUUCAAAAAAAAGGGUCUAGCCCACGAUUGGUAAACUCAGACCCACUAAAUGAACUUGGGUCAACUUGGCACAUGCUUUGGCCAGGUUGUCUGAAGUAAUAACAGGGUGCUUAGGGGGUAGAUUGGGGAAUAUAGAUAGGGGAAUCUUUUAUAACUGCCUAAGGAAGCUUCUAGGAAGCUGGGGGUGGGGAUUAAAUUGAACUUCUGAUUUUAACACUAGGGACACAAUAGCAAAAAUGAGAAUUAAAAAGGGGUAAAAGAGCAAAAACUGAAAAUUCUAUUGUUGCCCUAACUCCCUUGUAUAAAAGCUCCAUUAGCUGAAUUCUGAAAAGACAGAAGAAAGAACAGAGAGAUGGGAUAAAAAACAAAACGGCUGGAAUUUUUUUUUAAUAGAAUCACUGUUUCAUUGAACAUCUUCUGUGAUUUUUCAAGUUUUCAAUUUGCUGAAGCAAUUUCUUAUUCAUUUAGUGUGGAAAUGGAUUGAAUUUGGUUUUCAAAAGUUUGGUUUAAAGUUGCUGUAGUGACUGUUCGAUUGAGACUGUUUUUUACUGCUUUGCGGCAAUUCUUAUGGUUUGAACUAGUUUUGUUGGUGCUGGUUUCUGCUACACUGUUGUUGCUUGGCUGAUUCCUCACUCUUUUGUUUCUAUUUCGAUUUCCAGGUAUUCAUCUCAUCUUUUGGUGCAUGAGAAUGGAUGAAUGUGAAGUGGUUUGAUCAAGUUUAAAAUCUAUGAAAGAGCAAUCGAUUAAAUGUUAUUUUUUCCCCUUUGAAACUAGUUGAUUAUUGUUUUAGUCUAAUUUCCUUUUAUGUGGACAUUUGACCCCUUUGUUGAGUAGCCAUUUCAAUAUUGGAUGGUUUGUUGAGAAAAGGACUUGUAAUUUGUUUGAACAUAGGGACUUUAUCUGUUGUAUAUUUGAAUACUGAGGAAGCCAAUGAAAGCUUCAAACAUUUCAUUUAUUAUUUGCUUGGUAAGUGCCUUCGUUGGAUAUACUGUAAUAUUGUUUCUGAAAAAGGGUUAAAUAGUUUCACCUGUAAUAAGGUUAGUGAUUGUGCGAUGUUUAAAGUCUGAUGAUUGACGGUUCAAUAUUAUUUGGUUUGGCUAUUCAGAAUUUAAAUGUUCCAUCAUGUGUAUUAGUAUAUGUUCUACAUGUUAAAGUGUGCACUGAGUGAUGAUUACAUAGUCUGUUCUAUUUGUGAUAGGAUCAAUGUUUAAGAUAAAAUUGGAAGUUGAUAGCAAGGCAUAGUAUAAGAUGUUUUUUUAAGGGAUGAAUAGCAUAGAAGUUCAUUUGGCAUGUCUCUUCGGUUUGCAUAUCGGCUUGCUUCCACUUAGGCUCGAUUCCGAGUCCUUU